GACGAACGCUGGCGGCGUGCUUAACACAUGCAAGUCGAACGGUGAAGCGCCUUCCUUUUUGGUGGGUGUGGAUGAGUGGCGAACGGGUGAGUAACACGUGAGUAACCUGCCCCCUUCUUCUGGAUAACCGCAUGAAAGUGUGGCUAAUACGGGAUAUUCUGGGUCUGUCGCAUGAUGGGUCUGGGAAAGAUAUUGUUUCGGUGGGGGAUGGGCUCGCGGCCUAUCAGCUUGUUGGUGGGGUGAUGGCCUACCAAGGCGGUGACGGGUAGCCGGCCUGGGAGGGUGGACGGUCCCACUGGGACUGAGACACCGCCCAGACUCCUACGGGAGGCAGCAGUGGGGAAUAUUGCACAGUGGGCGCAAGCCUGAUGCAGCGACGCCGCGUGAGGGAUGGAGUCCUUCGGGUUGUGAACCUCUUUCGCCAGUGAAGCAGGCCUGCCUCGUUUGUGGGUGGGUUGACGGUAGCUGGAUAAGAAGCGCCGGCUAACUACGUG
RNAcentral lists this ribosomal RNA (494 nucleotides) under uncultured bacterium. RNAcentral describes it as "partial 16S ribosomal RNA". It matches the Rfam family "Bacterial small subunit ribosomal RNA", at positions 28 to 507 of the family's 1533-position model. The record is from RNAcentral.